GUCAGGAUGGCCGAGUGGUCUAAGGCGCCAGAUUUAAGCUCUGGUCCUCGUGAGAGGGCGUGGGUUCGAACCCCACUUCUGACA
Molecule: transfer RNA, 84 nt
Filed under: Rhipicephalus microplus (southern cattle tick)
Lineage: Eukaryota; Metazoa; Arthropoda; Arachnida; Ixodida; Ixodidae
Also listed under: 1 other name
Description: tRNA-Leu
Rfam family: tRNA
About the family: Transfer RNA (tRNA) molecules are approximately 80 nucleotides in length. Their secondary structure includes four short double-helical elements and three loops (D, anti-codon, and T loops).
Source: Rfam by way of RNAcentral